CCCAGGUUCAAAUGAUUUCUCCUGCCUCAGCCUCCCAGACCAUUUACAUUCAACGUUAAUAUUGAGAUGUGAGCAUUCUUUCUCCCUGGCACAGGCACACCGGAUUCUGGAACAUCCCUCAGACAAGCCUGUCCUGCUCUCCUUAGGGACUUUGUAUCUGUGCUCUGUCUUCCUGGAACGUCUGCUCGGCUGUUCUCUCACCGUCUCUGUUCUUCUCACCUUAGACUGCUCAGCACCAGGAACUGAUGUUCAAGGCUGCAGGCAUUUGUGAUGAUAAGAGGAAAGCCACGGAGGCUGGCCAGACCCUAGCACUGGAGACUUGUAUUGGCUUCUGAUAUGUUUUAAGCGUCCCUGUGGUCUAAGCCAUUGUUGGCUAUUUUACAGAUCUGUUUGUAUACACUACGUUUCCAAAUGUACGUACAUUUCUUACUAGACUCUCCACACUUAGAUUAUUUCUUUUUAAAAGUAUUCUAGUUUCUGAAUGUAGACAUCUUUUAAUUUCUUUAUAUGUACACAGAUAUGAAGCUUCAUGUACAUGAAUACAUUUUUAAAGACAUACUAAAUUCUUACAGUUGUUUUUAAUUGUAGUGAUGUUUUGUGCAGUCUUUUUAAAAUUUUUAUCUUUUUAAUUGGAUCAUUUCCUUCUCCAGUAACAGUCCCUGACUUGUGAUCUCAGAUCACCCAUAUUAACAAUCCAGCUUACAUUAUUAUGUAUAAUAUGUCUGUACCUAAUUACAUGAUUAUUUAGAAAACAUUAUUUGUGUAUAUAUCUAAUCUCAAUAUGUAUAUGUUUGGAGGUUUUGGGUCUUUUGAGGUGCAGAUUCAGUGCUUUUACCAAAAUGGUAUCAUAUUAGAAACACUUCUGCACUUCAGAUUUUUUUUUCGUUUCCAUUCAAUUAUAAUUUAUGAAAAUCCUUCCAAGUUGACUAGAAGAGAGGCAAUUCAUUCUUACCAGUAGCUAAUGAAUUUUAAUAUGGUGUUCCUAUGCUAUAAUUUAUUAAAUAAUUCUCUUAAUUGUGGGUCACUAAUUUUAUUUUCAGUUUAUUUGCCGCUAUAAACAAU
RNAcentral lists this long non-coding RNA (1062 nucleotides) under Homo sapiens (human). RNAcentral describes it as "HSALNT0049712". The record is from RNAcentral. Lineage: Eukaryota; Metazoa; Chordata; Mammalia; Primates; Hominidae.